AUUCGAUUAGAGUUUGAUCAUGGCUCAGAACGUACGCUGGCGGCACGCCUAACACAUGCAAGUCGAACGCAGUAGCAAUACUGAGUGGCAAACGGGUGAGUAUAAUGUGGGAAUCUGCCUUUUGGUUUGGAAUAACACGGGGAAACUUGUGCUAAUACCGAAUAAGCCCUUACGGGGAAAGUUUUAACGCCGAAAGAUGAGCCUGCACUUGAUUAGCUAGUUGGUAAGGUAAAAGCUUACCAAGGCAACGAUCAAUAGCUGUUCUUAGAGGAAGACCAGCCACAUUGGGACUGAGACACGGCCCAGACUCCUACGGGAGGCAGCAGUGGGGAAUCUUGCACAAUGGGGGAAACCCUGAUGCAGCGAUGCCGCGUGAGUGAAGAAGGCCCUUGGGUUGUAAAACUCUUUCGUCGGGGAAGAAAAUGACUGUACCCGAAUAAGAAGGUCCGGCUAACUUCGUGCCAGCAGCCGCGGUAAUACGAAGGGACCUAGCGUAGUUCGGAAUUACUGGGCUUAAAGAGCUCGUAGGUGGUUAAAAAAGUUGAUGGUGAAAUCCCAAGGCUCAACCUUGGAACUGCCAUCAAAACUUUUUAGCUAGAAUGUGAUAGAGGUAAGUGGAAUUUCUAGUGUAGAGGUGAAAUUCGUAGAUAUUAGAAAGAACACCAAAUGCGAAGGCAACUUACUGGGUCACUACUGACACUGAGGAGCGAAAGCAUGGGUAGCGAAGAGGAUUAGAUACCCUCGUAGUCCAUGCCGUAAACGAUGUGUGCUAGACGUUGGAAAUAUAUUUUUCAGUGUCGCAGCGAAAGCAUUAAGCACACCGCCUGGGGAGUACGACCGCAAGGUUAAAACUCAAAUGAAUUGACGGGGACCCGCACAAGCAGUGGAGCAUGUGGUUUAAUUCGAAGAUACGCGCAGAACCUUACCAACACUUGACAUGUGGAGUUUGGUUAUCAGAGAUGAUUUCCUUCAGUUCGGCUGGCUCCAACACAGGUGCUGCAUGGCUGUCGUCAGCUCGUGUCGUGAGAUGUUGGGUUAAGUCCCGCAACGAGCGCAACCCUCAUCUUUAGUUGCCAUCAGUUCGGCUGGGCACUCUAGAGAAACUGCCUGGGAUGACCAGGAGGAAGGCGAGGAUGACGUCAAGUCCUCAUGGCCCUUAUGGGCUGGGCUACACACGUGCUACAAUGGCGGUGACAAAGGGAUGCAAUAGGGCAACCUGGAGCAAAUCCCAAAAAGCCGUCUCAGUUCGGAUUGUUCUCUGCAACUCGAGAGCAUGAAGUUGGAAUCGCUAGUAAUCGUAGAUCAGCAUGCUACGGUGAAUACGUUCCCGGGCCUUGUAGACAC
Molecule: ribosomal RNA, 1344 nt
Filed under: uncultured bacterium
Lineage: Bacteria
Description: partial 16S ribosomal RNA
Rfam family: Bacterial small subunit ribosomal RNA
Source: RNAcentral